ACGGAGGGUGCAAACGUUGCUCGGAAUCAUUGGGCGUAAAGCGCACGUAGGCGGCUUGUUAAGUCGGAUGUGAAAUCCCCGGGCUCAACCUGGGAAUGGCAUCCGAUACUGGGGAGCUAGAGUUUGGGAGAGGGUGGUGGAAUUCCCGGUGUAGCGGUGAAAUGCGUAGAGAUCGGGAGGAACAUCAGUGGCGAAGGCGGCCACCUGGCCUAAAACUGACGCUGAGGCACGAAAGCGUGGGGAGCAAACAGGA
RNAcentral lists this ribosomal RNA (253 nucleotides) under uncultured prokaryote. Its description in RNAcentral is "partial 16S ribosomal RNA". It matches the Rfam family "Bacterial small subunit ribosomal RNA", at positions 525 to 777 of the family's 1533-position model. The record is from RNAcentral.